Molecule: ribosomal RNA, 429 nt
Filed under: Chloroflexota bacterium
Lineage: Bacteria; Bacillati; Chloroflexota
Description: Chloroflexi bacterium partial 16S ribosomal RNA
Rfam family: Bacterial small subunit ribosomal RNA
Source: RNAcentral
UGGGGAAUAUUGCACAAUGGGCGCAAGCCUGAUGCAGCCAUGCCGCGUGUAUGAAGAAGGCCUUCGGGUUGUAAAGUACUUUCAGUCGGGAGGAAGGUGGUAAGGUUAAUAACCUUAUCAAUUGACGUUACCGACAGAAGAAGCACCGGCUAACUCCGUGCCAGCAGCCGCGGUAAUACGGAGGGUGCAAGCGUUAAUCGGAAUUACUGGGCGUAAAGCGCACGCAGGCGGUUGAUUGAGUCAGAUGUGAAAUCCCCGGGCUUAACCCGGGAAUUGCAUCUGAUACUGGUCAGCUAGAGUCUUGUAGAGGGGGGUAGAAUUCCAUGUGUAGCGGUGAAAUGCGUAGAGAUGUGGAGGAAUACCGGUGGCGAAGGCGACCCCCUGGACAAAGACUGACGCUCAGGUGCGAAAGCGUGGGGAGCAAACAGG